RNAcentral lists this microRNA precursor (106 nucleotides) under Caenorhabditis remanei. The record is from RNAcentral. Lineage: Eukaryota; Metazoa; Nematoda; Chromadorea; Rhabditida; Rhabditidae.
CAGAAGGUCGCUGGUUCGAUUCCAGCAUGAGGCACCGAGACUUUUUUGAGGAACUGAAGAAAUUAUGUUUUUGUUGGAAUUCGAAAUACUUUUUGGGACUUUCUGA